Molecule: long non-coding RNA, 2327 nt
Organism: Mauremys mutica (yellowpond turtle)
Lineage: Eukaryota; Metazoa; Chordata; Testudines; Geoemydidae
Exons: 3
Source: RefSeq, a predicted model, not a curated record
CUAGAAAUGCAGCAGGAUGCUGAGUAUUAAACUGUUUUGGUUUUGUUUGCAGCUUGGAAAAACGUAAGAACAGCACACUCCUACUCUGUUAUUCUACAACAACAAUUAGUGAUGGGGCGAGUCCAGCUCCUACUUAUACAGCCCCCGGAAAUCCCCAGCCACUUCCCGAGCACCUUACAAAUGUCCACACCGCUGUACGCCCGGUUGCCGGGGCUGAUCCCCAGGGGCAUUGCGGUCACCCCGGAGAGAGGAUGCUGCAGGAGGGAGAGGGGUUUGCAAGCAGCUACCGCUACGUGUCUGGGCGGCCGUUACCUUCCCCUUUGCGCUCCAAGAACACAGUAUUUCCCAGCAGAGGGUAACAGGGGCUGACCCCCGGAAUCGGCUUCAGCGCCUUCCACUUCCCCAGGGCUAACAGAUGGUUCCAUGGCUCUCAGCACCCCACCCUCUACAAAUUGCUCCAGCAACCCUGGAGAAUGAAACGCUGCUGUGAUCUGUGGCUGCCCUUUUUCUCGCUGUGUAACCGGGGAUCUGCAGGAGGAUUAGACUAAGCAGCCUAGGAUCUGAACUUGGAGGGUCAGGGUCCAAGGCAGAACUCCCAGCCUUGUGGGCAACAUGGAGAAUAGGUUCAGGACACAGGCAAUAUUACAGAGGGGAGGAGAGAUAAACCACAACAACCAAGAAGAAUCAGGACAAGUAUGAAAAGCUGGGAUACACAUUCUAGAAGGAACAACACACAACCACACUGAAUUGGAUCCAUGGGCAUGGAGAAGACUACCCCAGCCAUCUGUCACACAGAGCCACCAGCAUGGCCAACAAACACUGGCUGUAACCAAACAAAUGCAUCACCUGUAGACUCCACUGCAUACCCCACAUAGCCCAGACAUACACAUGUAAAGAGCUGUACAUAUGAAGUGCUACUGUUACCAAUAAGCUCAGUCCCACAACUGUGACUGCCCAGGGCCUUGUUACAGAACUGGCUGAAUCAAGAGGACUAUAGUGAUGGUGCACAGGAAGAGAGACUGAGCAGGUUGCCACUGUUACUGGCCAAAUUCUCUGGUGGUGAAAUGUGGUGCUGUGACACUUUACACCAAUGAAGACUUUGGCCAGAUACCUGUACCAAAUGAGUCACUGACCCCAGCUCGGUUUCUCUGGAUCCAGCAUCCAUUGUUCAAUGCCUAGUCAUAACUCAUGGAUCCACACAGCCAAAGGAGCCACAGCAAGCAGAGACAAGCGUAGGUACAGGAGCCAAAUAGGGCAAGGGGUAGCCAUGCAUUGCCUGAGCACCUCCACGUACACCAGCACACAUCUGUGUGUAUGAGUAUUAACUGUAUUACAGCAGUGCCUACACACCCCAGGCGAGAGUGGGCCCAGUGUGCUAGGCCCUGUGCAAACAGACCUAGUAGCACAACCCUCUAUAAGAGGCAGACUGCCUGUCUGGAACAGCUGGGAGUGAAAUCACAGGGACUGGGGAAGAAGGCUCUGGUGACUGAAGGCAGCUUAUGUGAGAAAGGAGCAGUCAGUCAGUUGGGAGAUGUUGGAUCAGACUGGGAAGAGCAGGUGUGAACUGCUGCCACAUAACUCACUUGUGCUGCUGCCUUUGCUGCCUGAGGAGGUUUCAGAGCUGUCUGCCACUGCACCAUCUGGGAGGCUGGGGAGUGUUUGUUGCUCCUGAUUCCCCAUAGGGUUUGCCAAGUCAGACUCCUGUGAGACACCAGUGUAAAGUCAGACAACUCAGACAGAGAGAGGAAAGAAAUCUUCCUGAAUGAAAUAAUGCAGCCAUAUCCUUUAGGUGUGUAGCAACUAUUGCUUAUUUACAAGAAGAUGGGAAAAGCUAGGCAGCUUGCUGCCAGCUCAGCCAAGUCAACUGUUCCAACCUUUCAUCUUCCAGUCACCACAUGCACUUCCCCUGCACGUCCGCUUGAACCACAUUAUGCCAAAAUCAUCCCUUGUGUAACUCCACAGACACCUUUGCAGUUAAACCUAUGAAUUUGGCCCCUUAACUUUUAUUGUUGUCACUUGGUACCUGUAGACAUUCCUCUGAGUUGUGGGGCUAGAUUCACAGACUUAGGUGCCUAAAUGCCAUGGAGGGUAUUUCUACACGGCAAUGACAAACCUGCAAUUGGUCCAGGCCAUCUGACUUGGGGAACUCGGGAUUGUGCAGCGGCAAUGGAUUCUUCCUAAAAGGGGGGGGGAUCAAUCCCUACCUCUUCACUUCCCCCAGAUGCCUGACCCAAGCCAGAAGCUGAAGCCACGACAGGGAACCUGGGCUCCUCCACUUGACUGGGGUGCGGGUACACAAGAGCAGUCCCCACCCUGUGUCCCUGGUC